GCAUAUCAUAAGCGGAGGAAAAGAAACCAACAGGAUUGCCUUAGUAACGGCGAGUGAAGCGGCAACAGCUCAAAUUUGAAAUCUGGCUCCUUCGGGGUCCGAGUUGUAAUUUGCAGAGGAUGCUUCGAGUUAUGGUUCCUUCCGAGUUCCCUGGAACGGGACGCCAUAGAGGGUGAGAGCCCCGUCUGGUAGGAAACCAUGCUCAUGUGAAGCUCCCUCGACGAGUCGAGUAGUUUGGGAAUGCUGCUCUAAGGGGAGGUAUACUCCUUCCAAGGCUAAAUACCGGCUAGAGACCGAUAGCGCACAAGUAGAGUGAUCGAAAGAUGAAAAGUACUUUGAAAAGAGAGUCAAACAGCACGUGAAAUUGUUAAAAGGGAAGCGCUCGCUACCAGACGUGGGUUCGGUGGUUCAACCAGGUCCAUGACCUGGGGCACUCCGCCGGCCCAGGCCAGCAUCAGCUUUCCGUCGGGGGCAAAGGCGUCGGGAAUGUGGCUCUCCUUCGGGGGAGUGUUAUAGCCCGUCGCGUCAUACCCUUCGGGGGGCUGAGGUACGCGCUCCGCAAGGAUGCUGGCGUAAUGGUAGCUAGUGACCCGUCUUGAAACACGGACCAAGGAGUCAACCUUAUGUGCGAGUGCCCGGGCGUAAAACCCCAGCGCGGAAUGAAAGUGAACGUAGGUGAGAGCUUCGGCGCAUCACCGACCGAUCCUGAUGUCCUCGGACGGAUUUGAGUGAGAGCAUAUAGGGUUGGACCCGAAAGAAGAUGAACUAUGCGUGUGUAGGGUGAAGCCAGAGGAAACUCUGGUGGAGGCUCGCAGCGGUUCUGACGUGCAAAUCGAUCGUCAAACAUGCGCAUGGGGGCGAAAGACUAAUCGAAUCUUCUGGUAGCUGGUUUCCGCCGAA
RNAcentral lists this ribosomal RNA (900 nucleotides) under Verticillium albo-atrum. RNAcentral's name for it is "LSU rRNA". It matches the Rfam family "Eukaryotic large subunit ribosomal RNA", at positions 38 to 965 of the family's 3401-position model. Lineage: Eukaryota; Fungi; Ascomycota; Sordariomycetes; Glomerellales; Plectosphaerellaceae. The record is from RNAcentral.